RNAcentral lists this transfer RNA (69 nucleotides) under Ictidomys tridecemlineatus (thirteen-lined ground squirrel). Its description in RNAcentral is "Spermophilus tridecemlineatus (thirteen-lined ground squirrel) tRNA". It matches the Rfam family "tRNA". From Rfam's summary of the family: Transfer RNA (tRNA) molecules are approximately 80 nucleotides in length. Their secondary structure includes four short double-helical elements and three loops (D, anti-codon, and T loops). Lineage: Eukaryota; Metazoa; Chordata; Mammalia; Rodentia; Sciuridae. The record is from Rfam by way of RNAcentral.
GGGGUUGUAGCUCAGUGGUAGAGCACUUGCCUCGCAUGUGUGAAGCACUGGGUUCAAUUCUUAGCACCG